Equus quagga is the source of this 1836-nucleotide RNA transcript. It is a transcript of the gene named WD repeat domain, phosphoinositide interacting 1, with no coding region annotated. NCBI's taxonomy places the organism in Eukaryota, Metazoa, Chordata, Mammalia, Perissodactyla, Equidae. The transcript is spliced from 13 exons. The record is from RefSeq and is a predicted model, not a curated record.
CCCGGCCCGCGGAGCCGGCGCCAGCGGGCUGCUGAGGUGGCUGUCGCCGGCUCGGAGUUGCGGCUUCCCCGGGUCGAGUCGCCGAUGGAAGCCGAGGCCGCGGAUAGCCCCCCGGGCGGGGUCAAGGCGGCGCUCAGCUGCUUCUCUUUCAACCAGGACUGCACAUCCCUAGCAAUUGGAACCAAAGCCGGUUAUAAGCUGUUUUCUUUGAGUUCCGUGGAGCAACUGGACCAAGUCCAUGGCAGCAACGAAAUCCCAGAUGUCUACAUCGUGGAGCGCCUUUUCUCCAGCAGCCUGGUGGUGGUGGUGAGUCAUACAAAGCCGCGUCAGAUGAACGUCUAUCACUUCAAGAAAGGCACAGAGAUCUGUAAUUACAGCUACUCCAGCAACAUCUUGUCCAUAAGGCUGAACCGGCAGAGGCUGCUGGUGUGUCUGGAGGAGUCCAUUUACAUUCACAACAUUAAAGACAUGAAGCUGCUGAAGACGAUCCUGGAUGUUCCUGCAAACCCAACAGGUCUGUGUGCCCUCUCCAUCAACCAUUCCAAUUCUUACGUGGCCUACCCUGGAAGCCUGACUACAGGCGAGAUUGUGCUUUACGAUGGACACUCCCUGAAAACCGUCUGCACUAUUGCUGCCCACGAGGGGACACUGGCUGCCAUCACCUUCAACGCCUCAGGCUCCAAACUAGCGAGCGCAUCUGAAAAGGGCACUGUCAUCCGGGUGUUCUCUGUACCUGAUGGGCAAAAGCUCUAUGAGUUUCGGAGAGGAAUGAAAAGGUAUGUGACAAUCAGCUCUCUAGUUUUCAGUAUGGACUCACAGUUCCUCUGCGCCUCCAGCAACACCGAGACCGUGCACAUCUUCAAGCUGGAGCACCUCACCAACAAUCGACCAGAAGAGCCUUCGACCUGGAGUGGCUACAUGGGAAAGAUGUUCAUGGCUGCUUCCAACUACCUCCCCGCCCAGGUGACAGACAUGAUGAACCAGGACAGGGCCUUUGCCACCGGGCGUUUGAAUUUCUCUGGGCAGAAGAAUAUCUGCACCCUCUCCACGAUCCAGAAAUUGCCAAGGCUGUUAGUUGCAUCCUCCGAUGGACACCUUUAUGUCUACAAUUUGGACCCUCAGGACGGAGGAGAGUGUGUCUUAAUCAAGACCCACAGCUUGCUUGGCUCAGGAACCACAGAAGAGAAUAAAGAAAAUGACCUCAGACCUUCAUUACCUCAGUCUUAUGCAGCAACAGUAGCCAGACCAAGCACAUCUUCAGCUUCCACGGUGCCAGGUUAUUCUGAGGAUGGCGGGGCGCUCCGAGGAGAGGUUAUUCCUGAACAUGAGUUUGCGACGGGACCAGUGCGUCUUGAUGAUGAGAAUGAAUUUCCCCCUGUGAGCAUUAGGAAUCCUUAAAAGAGCGGCUCAGUCUGUAUGCUUGGAAGGACACCUUCGCCUCGGGCAAGAGGCGAGGUCUCUCUCCCUGUUAUCUGGUCUAUAACAACUAGUCCUCCUCUCUCACGGUCAGAAAGCCGUAGAAUGUUUAUUGUGCUGUGUGCUUCAGACCCUACCGGCUAGUCUUUAGGUGUUGUGCUAGACCCGACAGCACUGGAAUAACUGAAUCCUAAUCCAGGGAGUCUCGGUGGCCUCGUUACACUCAAGAGGCCUGGAAUCCUUGACCUUGCUUCUUUAGAAGCACUGUCUUUGCUGCUCAGAAGAUAAUCUUGUGCCGUGGAAGUCAGAAGGGCAAAACGAAGCUGUCAUGAUGAGAAGCACACCUCAGAAAUCAGGACAUCCCAUAUCAGGUGGUUUUGGAGAAAACAAGGAAGGUGGAAGAAUGGAGUGCGAUUGUGU